CAGUCGCCACGGGAAUACAGAGGGUGCGAGCGUUAAUCGGAUUUACUGGGCGUAAAGCGUGCGUAGGCGGCUAAUUGAGUCGGAUGUGAAAUCCCCGAGCUUAACUUGGGAAUUGCAUUCGAUACUGGUUAGCUAGAGUGUGGGAGAGGACGGUAGAAUUCCAGGUGUAGCGGUGAAAUGCGUAGAGAUCUGGAGGAAUACCGAUGGCGAAGGCAGCCAUCUGGCCUAACACUGACGCUGAGGUACGAAAGCGUGGGGAGCAAACAGGAUUAGAUACCCCCGUAGUCCCUGUCUCUUAUAC
Molecule: ribosomal RNA, 301 nt
Filed under: uncultured bacterium
Lineage: Bacteria
Description: partial 16S ribosomal RNA
Rfam family: Bacterial small subunit ribosomal RNA
Source: RNAcentral